RNAcentral lists this ribosomal RNA (396 nucleotides) under uncultured bacterium. RNAcentral describes it as "partial 16S ribosomal RNA". It matches the Rfam family "Bacterial small subunit ribosomal RNA", at positions 523 to 918 of the family's 1533-position model. The record is from RNAcentral.
AUACAGAGGGUGUAAGCGUUAAUCGGAUUUACUGGGCGUAAAGCGCGCGUAGGUGGCUAAUUAAGUCAAAUGUGAAAUCCCCGAGCUUAACUUGGGAAUUGCAUUCGAUACUGGUUAGCUAGAGUAUGGGAGAGGAUGGUAGAAUUCCAGGUGUAGCGGUGAAAUGCGUAGAGAUCUGGAGGAAUACCGAUGGCGAAGGCAGCCAUCUGGCCUAAUACUGACACUGAGGUGCGAAAGCAUGGGGAGCAAACAGGAUUAGAUACCCUGGUAGUCCAGGCCGUAAACGAUGUCUACUAGCCGUUGGGGCCCUUGAGGCUUUAGUGGCGCAGCUAACGCGAUAAGUAGACCGCCUGGGGAGUACGGUCGCAAGACUAAAACUCAAAUGAAUUGACGGGG